GGGAAUCUUGGACAAUGGGCGAAAGCCUGAUCCAGCCAUGCCGCGUGAGUGAUGAAGGCCUUAGGGUUGUAAGGCUCUUUCGCCAGGGAAGAUAAUGACGGUACCUGGAUAAGAAGCCCCGGCUAACUUCGUGCCAGCAGCCGCGGUAAUACGAAGGGGGCUAGCGUUGUUCGGAAUUACUGGGCGUAAAGCGCACGUAGGCGGCUUUCCAAGUUGGAGGUGAAAUCCCCGGGCUUAACCCGGGAACUGCCUCCAAAACUGAAAGGCUAGAGUCCGAGAGAGGUGAGUGGAAUUUCCAGUGUAGAGAUGAAAUUCGUAGAUAUUGGAAAGAACACCAGUGGCGAAGGCGGCUCACUGGCUCGGUACUGACGCUGAGGUGCGACAGCGUGGGGAGCAAA
RNAcentral lists this ribosomal RNA (398 nucleotides) under uncultured bacterium. RNAcentral describes it as "bacterial SSU rRNA". It matches the Rfam family "Bacterial small subunit ribosomal RNA", at positions 357 to 772 of the family's 1533-position model. The record is from RNAcentral.